UUACUAAUUAGUUGACCAUAAUUAGUUUGGUGUAGCCUUAGAGUUCAAGUCACUCCAAGCUAUAUGUACACACACUCCUAGUUCUAUAUAUGUGUACCAUAAAUAGUGAUCAAUUGCUCUUAGUUUAAGAUUGAAGUAACAUGAAACGUAUGAUCACACACAUGAGAAUUAUUGAUGUAGUAACUAGUCGAAAUUUCGUACAUAGUACUUUUAAAAGCCACGGCUCGAUGAUAGUUUAAGAUGCUAAUUAAUCGGACUGUAUAAGUUCGGUUCAACGCAUUUUGUUUGUGGGGAUUAUUGUUUGUGUUUUCUAGCUUCUUUACUCGUGCUCAGUCGUAUAUUACGGUUCUUUUGACACUGGAGUUUGUGUAGACAAUGAAAUU
RNAcentral lists this long non-coding RNA (383 nucleotides) under Linum usitatissimum (flax). Its description in RNAcentral is "long non-coding RNA (LUSI_LNC006345)". Lineage: Eukaryota; Viridiplantae; Streptophyta; Magnoliopsida; Malpighiales; Linaceae. The record is from RNAcentral.